RNAcentral lists this transfer RNA (35 nucleotides) under Crocidura cf. tanakae. RNAcentral's name for it is "partial tRNA-Glu". Lineage: Eukaryota; Metazoa; Chordata; Mammalia; Eulipotyphla; Soricidae. The record is from RNAcentral.
AAAAACCAUCGUUGUCCUUCAACUACAGAAACCUU